This is a non-coding RNA of Triticum aestivum (bread wheat), 126 nucleotides long. NCBI's taxonomy places the organism in Eukaryota, Viridiplantae, Streptophyta, Magnoliopsida, Poales, Poaceae. The record is from Rfam.
UAUGUACUCCCUCCGUCCGGAAAAGCCUCUCCUUCAAAUGAAUGUAUCUAGCAUCAAGUUAGUGCUAAAUACAUUCAUUUGAGAGACAAACCUGGGACAAGCUUUUUUGGACGGAGGGAGUAUCCA